Molecule: ribosomal RNA, 244 nt
Filed under: uncultured bacterium
Lineage: Bacteria
Description: partial 16S ribosomal RNA
Rfam family: Bacterial small subunit ribosomal RNA
Source: RNAcentral
UGAGUGGCGAACGGGUGAGUAACACGUGAGUAACCUGCCCUCUUCUUUGGGAUAACGCCCGGAAACGGGUGCUAAUACUGGAUAUUCACUGAUCUUCGCAUGGGGGUUGGUGGAAAGGUUUUUUCUGGUGGGAGAUGGGCUCGCGGCCUAUCAGCUUGUUGGUGGGGUGAUGGCCUACCAAGGCUUUGGCGGGUAGCCGGCCUGAGAGGGUGACCGGUCACAUUGGGACUGAGAUACGGCCCAG